GACGAACGCUGGCGGCGUGCCUAAUACAUGCAAGUUGAGCGAUGAAGAUUGGUGCUUGCACCAAUUUGAAGAGCAGCGAACGGGUGAGUAACGCGUGGGGAAUCUGCCUUUGAGCGGGGGACAACAUUUGGAAACGAAUGCUAAUACCGCAUAAUAACUUUAAACAUAAGUUUUAAGUUUGAAAGAUGCAAUUGCAUCACUCAAAGAUGAUCCCGCGUUGUAUUAGCUAGUUGGUGAGGUAAAGGCUCACCAAGGCGAUGAUACAUAGCCGACCUGAGAGGGGGAUCGGCCAAAUUGGGACUGGGACCCGGCCCAAAAUCCUACGGGAGGCAGCAGUAGGGAAUCUUCGGCAAUGGACGAAAGUCUGACCGAGCAACGCCGCGUGAGUGAAGAAGGUUUUCGGAUCGUAAAACUCUGUUGGUAGAGAAGAACGUUGGUGAGAGUGGAAAGCUCAUCAAGUGACGGUAACUACCCAGAAAGGGACGGCUAACUACGUG
This 497-nucleotide ribosomal RNA is filed under the name uncultured bacterium. RNAcentral describes it as "partial 16S ribosomal RNA". It matches the Rfam family "Bacterial small subunit ribosomal RNA", at positions 28 to 507 of the family's 1533-position model. The record is from RNAcentral.